RNAcentral lists this small nucleolar RNA (225 nucleotides) under Arabidopsis thaliana (thale cress). Its description in RNAcentral is "ncRNA (AT2G08760)". Lineage: Eukaryota; Viridiplantae; Streptophyta; Magnoliopsida; Brassicales; Brassicaceae. The record is from RNAcentral.
GAUUUCUCUCCCAGGAAUCUAUUACCAAAAAGAUGGAGCAAUCUGAUAAUUGUGAUUGCAUAAUCCACUGGUAAACGUCACAAACCAAUAGGGUAAGCAUAAGGACGUUGAUGGAGCCUUAGGGCUUCUCCGUCUUAGCUAUUGCCACUGGCUCUCAUAUUCCAUUGCCUUGCGGAGCGGCGUUGCUGCUUUUACCGUUUGGGACCUGCCAUGAGAUCUAUAUUC